UAGUGAAUCAACGAAGACGACGCCCAUGCAAAAUUCAAAUGUCAAAGUGAAAUUAGAAAUUAUUCUCAUCAGAAAUCAACGAACAAGUCAAACUGAAUUAUUUUAUCCAGUGUGAUGAUUAUUGUAGGACAAAUUAAACGGAAUAAAUGCACAAAUUGAUCCAUUCAUUCGUCAUAGUGCGCGACCCCGUCAAACGAGCCAUCUCGAACUACAAUCAGACCGUAUCCAAAAAGCCCAAGAUGAAGACUUCAAGACUUCGAGCAGCUGGUCUUCCUCAAAACCCCAUCAAAGCCCAUCGGCAGCAUUGCGACAUUUUCUGGGAGCCCUCAAGCUAGGAAUGUACUCGGGCUGCCUCACUCAGUAAUCACUGAACGACUCAAAUUGAAUAAUUUUUUCCAAUAUGACGAUUAUUGUUGUUGCUGGUGCUGAUCGAGUCUUUAUUACUAAAAUCUCAUUAAAAUGCCAUGUUCUACUGCGAUUAGAUGAAAAAGCGAGGGCCCGCUUUUCUUAUUGUGUGAUGAUAAGAUUUACCAUCAAAAUAGCUGGCGCUUUUGAAGAGGACCUUUUAAUGAACCAUUUAGAUAACUACAAAUAACAAAACUUAACAAUUGUUGAUGAAUGAAGUAAUGAAAUAUUGUACGAAUUUGGAGAAGUAUUGCACUAUUUUCAAGAAUUGCUCAAAAAGACUGCUCUCAGCAGCUGUACAGUAAGUAAGCCAAUCUUCAAAACUCCUACGCGUGUUGAUCAGCAUUUUAGUUGAAAUCUGAAGACAAUAUUGCUGGAUUGCUUGUUUCAGCGCUUCUCUGUUUGUAUAGCUUGUCUGAAUGCAGAUGGUCGUGAAGAAAUCUCCAAAGAAAAAAUUCUCAGGGGUUUAUAUCCGGCGAUUGCACAGGCCAAUGGGGCGGUGCAAACUUUCCAUUCCAACAUUGCGGAAAAAUACUGGUUCAAAUAAACAACAUUUAUGCGAACUGUAUGGCUGGAGAUUUGGUCCUGGAUGUAAAAGACCUGCUGCAGAUGCCGCACCCUUCGAGUCCCAGGAAGUAUUUGCUGAGCUAGCAUAUUAUCCUACUUCUGAGCAUUCAAUCCGGAUUCGAUGAAAAAAGGUGCAAUGACAUGAUGUCCUAGAAGCCCCAGUCAUACACUGACAAUUGCACGCCAUUGAUAACGAAGGUCAUGGACCACGUGAGGGUUGUGUAAUGCUCAAAUUUGAUCGUUCUGACGAUUAUAACUUCCCUUAAGACCAAAUGAACGUCAGUAAAACAAAUUUUCCUCAAAAACUCUCCAUCAGCCUAGAUUCUCUCAAGCGUUCCUUCGUAAAACUCUAUAUGUGAGAAGUAGUCCCCAGGGUUCAAUUUUUUGUCAUGAUGCUUUUUGAAAUUCUUCUUUCUCAUCUGUUUAAGACCCCUAGAAAACGUCGUGCCCACCUGAUUUUAUGUAAUUUUUAUCACCUUUGAAAAUAAAUGUAACUUUAUUUUGCGAAA
Zophobas morio is the source of this 1481-nucleotide long non-coding RNA. RefSeq lists it as uncharacterized. Lineage: Eukaryota; Metazoa; Arthropoda; Insecta; Coleoptera; Tenebrionidae. The transcript is spliced from 2 exons. The record is from RefSeq and is a predicted model, not a curated record.